ACGCUGGCGGCGUGCCUAACACAUGCAAGUCGAACGGAGAUUACGGACGGAAGUUUUCGGAUGGAAGACUGUAAUUCUUAGUGGCGGACGGGUGAGUAACGCGUGGGCAACCUGCCCUAUACAGGGGGAUAGCAGCUGGAAACGGCUGGUAAGACCGCAUAAGUCGGCGAGACCGCAUGGUUUUGCCGGGAAAUGAGCAAUCAGGUAUAGGAUGGGCCCGCGUCCGAUUAGCCAGUUGGCAGGGUAAAAGCCUACCAAAGCAACGAUCGGUAGCCGGACUGAGAGGUCGGACGGCCACAUUGGGACUGAGACACGGCCCAAACUCCUACGGGAGGCAGCAGUGGGGGAUAUUGCACAAUGGAGGAAACUCUGAUGCAGCGACGCCGCGUGAGUGAAGAAGUAUUUCGGUAUGUAAAGCUCUAUCAGCAGGGAAGAUGAUGACGGUACCUGACUAAGAAGCCCCGGCUAACUACGUGCCAGCAGCCGCGGUAAUACGUAGGGGGCAAGCGUUGUCCGGAUUUACUGGGUGUAAAGGGAGCGCAGGCGGUUUGGCAAGUUGAGAGUGGAAGCAGGGGGCUCAACCCCCUGACUGCUCCCAAAACUGUUAAACUUGAGUAUGGGAGAGGCAGGCGGAAUUCCUAGCGUAGCGGUGAAAUGCUUAGAUAUUAGGAAGAACACCGGUGGCGAAGGCGGCCUGCUGGACCAAAACUGACGCUGAGGCUCGAAAGCGUGGGUAGCAAACAGGAUUAGAUACCCUGGUAGUCCACGCUGUAAACGAUGAAUACUAGGUGCUGGGAGGCAUAAGCCUUUCCGGUGCCGUCGCAACGCAUUAAGUAUUCCACCUGGGGGAGUACGUUCCGCAAGAAUGAACUCAAGGAAUUGACGGGGACCCGCACAGCGGUGGAGACA
This 909-nucleotide ribosomal RNA is filed under the name uncultured bacterium. Its description in RNAcentral is "bacterial SSU rRNA". It matches the Rfam family "Bacterial small subunit ribosomal RNA", at positions 33 to 940 of the family's 1533-position model. The record is from RNAcentral.